CUUGCUUUCUUUGCCGGCGACCGGCGCACGGGUGAGUAACACGUAUCCAACCUGCCCUUUACUCGGGGAUAGCCUUUCGAAAGAAAGAUUAAUACCCGAUGGCAUAAUGAUUCCGCAUGGUUUCAUUAUUAAAGGAUUCCGGUAAAGGAUGGGGAUGCGUUCCAUUAGGUUGUUGGUGAGGUAACGGCCCACCAAGCCUUCGAUGGAUAGGGGUUCUGAGAGGAAGGUCCCCCACAUUGGAACUGAGACACGGUCCAGACUCCUACGGGAGGCAGCAUG
This 279-nucleotide ribosomal RNA is filed under the name uncultured bacterium. RNAcentral's name for it is "partial 16S ribosomal RNA". It matches the Rfam family "Bacterial small subunit ribosomal RNA", at positions 75 to 353 of the family's 1533-position model. The record is from RNAcentral.